Long non-coding RNA from Osmerus eperlanus (European smelt), 437 nucleotides. RefSeq lists it as uncharacterized. The transcript is spliced from 4 exons. Lineage: Eukaryota; Metazoa; Chordata; Actinopteri; Osmeriformes; Osmeridae. The record is from RefSeq and is a predicted model, not a curated record.
AUCCCCAUCACGAGGUCAUUUGUUAUAAAUACAGACAGUGAGAGCAUGAUGUGCACAGUUUAACCCUCCUGUAACAGAUUAAUCUACCUGCUAACCCGAGACAAACAUGAGUACUCCAGCGGCUACCACCCCUGCAGUCGGAGAUAAGGAGGGGAAGGGAAAGAAAGGAGAUGGAAAAGCUGCCGGCCAACAUGGAAAAGGUGGCGAACAUGGAAAAGGUGGCGAACAUGGAAAAGGUGGCGAACAUGGAAAAGGUGGCGAACAUGGAAAAGGUGGCGAACAUGGAAAAGGUGGCGAACAUAAAAAAGGUGGCGGAAGAGGAUGUGGUACUGAAGUACCUUAAUUGGAAAACAUUGUUCUUUAACUGUUAUAAACUCUGACAUCAUCUGUAAAAAAAAUAUGGACGUGUAUCUAUGUAUUAAAACUAUUCAGAGCCA